Molecule: long non-coding RNA, 352 nt
Organism: Ahaetulla prasina
Lineage: Eukaryota; Metazoa; Chordata; Lepidosauria; Squamata; Colubridae
Exons: 2
Source: RefSeq, a predicted model, not a curated record
UGUCUGGGCUCAGGAUGGGUGCCGCUUAGGCUCCGGCUAUUGUUGCGCGGGCUGAUGUCAUCCUGGCUCAGCGUGAGCUGCCGGCAAACGCAGCCCAGUCUCGACCCCGCUUGGCUUCUGCGGCUGUUUUGGGAAUGAACAAUGCAAUUAAGACUGAAUUUCAUAUCCAAGGGGAUCAAGACCUUGAUCCAGAAGCAUGAGGGACGACUCUCUUAACUUCUGUAAGAGCUUCUGGAGUUCGUCCUUGGAAAAUAUCUGCAAGAUAGGAAAAAUCACAAUCUGAGAUAAAAUAUCUAUUUUUUUUUGCCUGGAAAGCUGGUGACCAAAGAUAAAAUUAUUUUAAUGAAAUAUC